RNAcentral lists this ribosomal RNA (468 nucleotides) under uncultured bacterium. Its description in RNAcentral is "partial 16S ribosomal RNA". It matches the Rfam family "Bacterial small subunit ribosomal RNA", at positions 28 to 507 of the family's 1533-position model. The record is from RNAcentral.
GACGAACGCUGGCGGCGUGCUUAAUACAUGCGAGUCGAACGGAAAGGCCCUGCGUUUGUUGGGUGGUCGAGUGGCGAACGGGUGAGUAACACGUGAGUAAAAUGUACUUGACUGUGGGAUAAAUCCAGGGAACAGGGGCUCAUAUCGGGUAGGAGCUAUUGCAGCGUGGGGGGGGAUGGAGAGAGCCGGCGGUUGGGGAUGGACUCGCAGCUUAUCCGCCGGUUAGGGAAGUAGGGGAGUUCAAGGGUUUUGACGGGUAGGCGGCCUGAGAGGGUGGCCGGCCACAUUGCGACUGAGAGACGGCCCAGACUCCAACGGGAGGCAACAGUGGGGAGUCUUGCAGAAUGACCCGAAGCCUGAUGCAGCAACGCUGCGAGCGGGAUGCCGUCUUACGAGUUGUAAACCAAUGUCUCCUGUACUAAACCCGGAGUGACGGUAAUGGGUAAAGAAGCACCGGCUAACUACGUG